UACGAAGGGGGCUAGCGUUGCUCGGAAUCACUGGGCGUAAAGCGCACGUAGGCGGCUUUUUAAGUCAGGGGUGAAAUCCUGGAGCUCAACUCCAGAACUGCCUUUGAUACUGGGAAGCUUGAGUCCGGGAGAGGUGAGUGGAACUCCGAGUGUAGAGGUGAAAUUCGUAGAUAUUCGGAAGAACACCAGUGGCGAAGGCGACUUACUGGACACAUAUUGACGCUGAGGUGCGAAAGCGUGGGGAGCAAACAGG
This 253-nucleotide ribosomal RNA is filed under the name uncultured bacterium. RNAcentral describes it as "partial 16S ribosomal RNA". It matches the Rfam family "Bacterial small subunit ribosomal RNA", at positions 524 to 776 of the family's 1533-position model. The record is from RNAcentral.